This is a long non-coding RNA of Megalobrama amblycephala (Wuchang bream), 964 nucleotides long. RefSeq lists it as uncharacterized. NCBI's taxonomy places the organism in Eukaryota, Metazoa, Chordata, Actinopteri, Cypriniformes, Xenocyprididae. The transcript is spliced from 7 exons. The record is from RefSeq and is a predicted model, not a curated record.
CGUAGAAAAGAUGUUCCCGAGAUUCGAUAUCUUGUUGACAAAAUGUGGAAGUAGCGCCGGCAUUUUUCUGAUGAGCGGACUGAUACACCGUGCCAUGGAUGACGGCGACCGCUGGAUCGCGCGACUGAAAAAUCAGAAUCGAACGUUCCAGAGUGCCGCGCGUAAAUUCCUUUUCGAGAUGACGAUGGAUCAUGUGUUUAUUGUUGGGGAUGUCUAGAGCCUUGGCCAUGCUGUCCGCACUGAAGGUCGGAUCUAGAACCAUCACAGCUCCAUGGAUGCCGCUGUUCUGAAGGCUGUCAGCAUACUCCUGCAUAACAGACAUUGAACAGAUGGAGCUCACGCUAUGGUGUGUGAAGACAGCCUGGAGCUCUGAGUUCAUGGUAAAAGCAGUCAUGAAAAAGAAGCAUUCCACAUGAAGACAUCAGCAAACACAAGGUCCUCCAUGGACUGAAGCAAGAACAAGAAAAGGCAGAAACAGAGACAGCGAGAGAGGAAGGAGAAGAGAGAAUAGAAAAGUAAUGGUGGACAUACGGGGACAGGCAGCUCUUACAUUGCAGAGGGAGUGAGUCCGGUGGCGGGGUGAGUUGAUGUCGCUCGGGGUGGAUGAGCGGUCGCCGUCGGCAGCCGAGGCGUCGGAGAUGAUGGAGGGCUGGCGGGAGUGACAGGGGCUGAUCCUCAAAGCAGCUGCGGAGGCAGGAGACGAACGUUGAGGGGAAGGUCUGCUUGCAUCACCCACUCCUGACUGCCGUUCACCACCGGCUCUGAUGGCAUCGCCAGAGAGUGACGCUUUGGCACGUCUUUAGUGAGAGUGGCCAGAGACUGCUUUGCCUGAGAUCUCAUGAUCUCAGUGCCGGCUCCGGCAGGCUCCACUUUCAGUGCCGGUGUUUCUUCUCAUAGCAAGAAAACUCAGCUGAACCUCCCGCACACACACAGGUACACGGUUCACUCCUACCACAGCCCCGCG